GUGUGUGUGUGUGUGUGUGUGUGUGUGUGUGUGUGUGUAAAAUGCUACACACACACACACACACACACACACACACAU
This 78-nucleotide microRNA precursor is filed under the name Podarcis lilfordi (Lilford's wall lizard). Lineage: Eukaryota; Metazoa; Chordata; Lepidosauria; Squamata; Lacertidae. The record is from RNAcentral.